Molecule: ribosomal RNA, 1434 nt
Filed under: uncultured organism
Description: 16S ribosomal RNA
Rfam family: Bacterial small subunit ribosomal RNA
Source: RNAcentral
CAGGCUUAACACAUGCAAGUCGAGGGGCAGCAUGGUCUUAGCUUGCUAAGGCCGAUGGCGACCGGCGCACGGGUGAAUAACACGUAUCCAACCUGCCGUCUACUCUUGGACAGCCUUCUGAAAGGAAGAUUAAUACAAGAUGGCAUCAUGAGUCCGCAUGUUCACAUGAUUAAAGGUAUUCCGGUAGACGAUGGGGAUGCGUUCCAUUAGAUAGUAGGCGGGGUAACGGCCCACCUAGUCUUCGAUGGAUAGGGGUUCUGAGAGGAAGGUCCCCCACAUUGGAACUGAGACACGGUCCAAACUCCUACGGGAGGCAGCAGUGAGGAAUAUUGGUCAAUGGGCGAGAGCCUGAACCAGCCAAGUAGCGUGAAGGAUGACUGCCCUAUGGGUUGUAAACUUCUUUUAUAAAGGAAUAAAGUCGGGUAUGCAUACCCGUUUGCAUGUACUUUAUGAAUAAGGAUCGGCUAACUCCGUGCCAGCAGCCGCGGUAAUACGGAGGAUCCGAGCGUUAUCCGGAUUUAUUGGGUUUAAAGGGAGCGUAGAUGGAUGUUUAAGUCAGUUGUGAAAGUUUGCGGCUCAACCGUAAAAUUGCAGUUGAUACUGGAUAUCUUGAGUGCAGUUGAGGCAGGCGGAAUUCGUGGUGUAGCGGUGAAAUGCUUAGAUAUCACGAAGAACUCCGAUUGCGAAGGCAGCCUGCUAAGCUGCAACUGACAUUGAGGCUCGAAAGUGUGGGUAUCAAACAGGAUUAGAUACCCUGGUAGUCCACACGGUAAACGAUGAAUACUCGCUGUUUGCGAUAUACGGCAAGCGGCCAAGCGAAAGCGUUAAGUAUUCCACCUGGGGAGUACGCCGGCAACGGUGAAACUCAAAGGAAUUGACGGGGGCCCGCACAAGCGGAGGAACAUGUGGUUUAAUUCGAUGAUACGCGAGGAACCUUACCCGGGCUUAAAUUGCAGAUGAAUUACGGUGAAAGCCGUAAGCCGCAAGGCAUCUGUGAAGGUGCUGCAUGGUUGUCGUCAGCUCGUGCCGUGAGGUGUCGGCUUAAGUGCCAUAACGAGCGCAACCCUUGUUGUCAGUUACUAACAGGUUCCGCUGAGGACUCUGACAAGACUGCCAUCGUAAGAUGUGAGGAAGGUGGGGAUGACGUCAAAUCAGCACGGCCCUUACGUCCGGGGCUACACACGUGUUACAAUGGGGGGUACAGAGGGCCGCUACCACGCGAGUGGAUGCCAAUCCCAAAAACCUCUCUCAGUUCGGACUGGAGUCUGCAACCCGACUCCACGGAGCUGGAUUCGCUAGUAAUCGCGCAUCAGCCACGGCGCGGUGAAUACGUUCCCGGGCCUUGUACACACCGCCCGUCAAGCCAUGGGAGCCGGGGGUACCUGAAGUGCGUAACCGCGAGGAGCGCCCUAGGGUAAAACUGGUGACUGGGGC